GUGAUUCUCCCACUUCGGUUUCCCAAACUGCUGGGAUUAUAGAGAGAAGAAAACACCGUGUGAAGGCAUAGACACACAGGGGACACCACGUGAAGAUGGUGGCACAGAUUGCAGAGACGUGUCAACAAGCCAGGGGGCACCAGGGGUCCCUGACCACCAUGAGAACUUGGAAGAGGCAAGGAAGUUUCUACCCAGGGUCUCAGAGCAUGGCCCUACCGACACCUUGGUCUUGCACUUCCGGCCUCCAGACCCACGAGACAACAAAUUUCUGUAGUUUUAAGCCACCUGAUCUGCGUUACUUUGUUGCUGCAGCCCUGGGACACUGAUGCCGCCUUUACCGAUUACACUCCCCUGACUAGUAGAGUCUGUCGCCACUGAACAUAGAAGGACGCUGCCCUCAGAGAGGUCAGCAGGCUACUCAGUGUCACCCAGCUUGUGUCCCUGCACAAGGCACUUGGCCUAUUUGCUACAGUUCUGGCCGUGUUGCUUUGUUUUGUUUUCUGAUUGUCAAAAGAUACCCCUCCAUAGGGUUGUGAAAUAUGUGAUGGAAAUGAUGAAAAAAUGAUUAAACAAAGCAUUGAGGUAUAAUUUACA
Lemur catta (Ring-tailed lemur) is the source of this 594-nucleotide long non-coding RNA. RefSeq lists it as uncharacterized. NCBI's taxonomy places the organism in Eukaryota, Metazoa, Chordata, Mammalia, Primates, Lemuridae. The transcript is spliced from 2 exons. The record is from RefSeq and is a predicted model, not a curated record.